Harpia harpyja (harpy eagle) is the source of this 579-nucleotide long non-coding RNA. RefSeq lists it as uncharacterized. NCBI's taxonomy places the organism in Eukaryota, Metazoa, Chordata, Aves, Accipitriformes, Accipitridae. The record is from RefSeq and is a predicted model, not a curated record. The transcript has 2 exons.
GGGGGAAUUGAUACAGGGAAAUAACUAUUUGCCUUUUGACCACUUAAAUAUUGUUUAAUAAUUCUGUUGGCCUUGUUUGUUCUUUCGAGGCUCGCUUGCCAGGGCCUGGCGCCUGUGGCGUCUGUCAAGUGUUAAGCUUAUCAGGGACUGGUAUUCGUCAAGGACUGACAUGCCAAACAAAGGGGUGAUAACAGGAACUGCAAUGUUAUUCUUAUCACAGAACUGGCUAGGACUUGUUAAAAACUGCUGAAAUCACCAAGUAAGAGAGCAUGUGUAAAUGACUAAAGUUCAUCUAGAGAACAGAAGAAGAGGAAGAUAAGACCCCUGAAGAAGUAAACGACCACCAGAGACAGAUCUGAGCCUGCGCAAGAUGACAUAAACAUUUUAGAACUGCUGACACAAGCUUUUGAACUAACCCCGCCCAACUUAUACAUAUGUAUAUUUUGUAUUGUGUAACCCUAUGAAUAUGUAUGGCUUGGUGUAAUAAAUAUCUGGCUGCUUGCUGAGACAGUGUGCAAGCUUUGAGGAGAAAUCCCCUUGCACCCAGCACCGAAAUAAACAUGCCUGCUUUAUAACUCA